AGAGUUUGAUCCUGGCUCAGGAUGAACUCUGGCGGCGUGCCUAACACAUGCAAGUCGAACGAAGCACCUUCCAAGAUUCUUCGGAUGAUUGACUGGUGACUGAGUGGCGGACGGGUGAGUAACGCGUGGGUAACCUGCCCUGUACAGGGGGAUAACAGCUGGAAACGGCUGCUAAUACCGCAUAAGCGCACGAGGAGACAUCUCUUCGUGUGAAAAACUCCGGUGGUACAGGAUGGGCCCGCGUCUGAUUAGCUGGUUGGCAGGGUAACGGCCUACCAAGGCGACGAUCAGUAGCCGGUCUGAGAGGAUGAACGGCCACAUUGGAACUGAGACACGGUCCAAACUCCUACGGGAGGCAGCAGUGGGGAAUAUUGCACAAUGGGGGAAACCCUGAUGCAGCAACGCCGCGUGAGUGAAGAAGUAUUUCGGUAUGUAAAGCUCUAUCAGCAGGGAAGAUAAUGACGGUACCUGACUAAGAAGCUCCGGCUAAAUACGUGCCAGCAGCCGCGGUAAUACGUAUGGAGCAAGCGUUAUCCGGAUUUACUGGGUGUAAAGGGUGCGUAGGUGGCAGUGCAAGUCAGAUGUGAAAGGCCGGGGCUCAACCCCGGAGCUGCAUUUGAAACUGCAUGGCUGGAGUACAGGAGAGGCAGGCGGAAUUCCUAGUGUAGCGGUGAAAUGCGUAGAUAUUAGGAGGAACACCAGUGGCGAAGGCGGCCUGCUGGACUGUUACUGACACUGAGGCACGAAAGCGUGGGGAGCAAACAGGAUUAGAUACCCUGGUAGUCCACGCCGUAAACGAUGAA
Molecule: ribosomal RNA, 803 nt
Filed under: uncultured bacterium
Lineage: Bacteria
Description: bacterial SSU rRNA
Rfam family: Bacterial small subunit ribosomal RNA
Source: RNAcentral